AUGAAGACUGGUGCUUGCACUGGUUGGAUUAGUGGCGAACGGGUGAGUAAUACGUGAGUAACCUGCCUUUGACUCUGGGAUAAGCCUGGGAAACUGGGUCUAAUACCGGAUAUGACAAGGAACCGCAUGGUUUUUUGUGGAAAGGGUUUGUACUGGUUUUAGAUGGGCUCACGGCCUAUCAGCUUGUUGGUGGGGUAAUGGCUCACCAAGGCGACGACGGGUAGCCGGCCUGAGAGGGUGACCGGCCACACUGGGACUGAGACACGGCCCAGACUCCUACGGGAGGCAGCAGUGGGGAAUAUUGCACAAUGGGCGCAAGCCUGAUGCAGCGACGCCGCGUGAGGGAUGACGGCCUUCGGGUUGUAAACCUCUUUCAGCAGGGAAGAAGCGAAAGUGACGGUACCUGCAGAAGAAGCGCCGGCUAACUACGUGCCAGCAGCCGCGGUAAUACGUAGGGCGCGAGCGUUGUCCGGGAAAUUAUUGGGCGUAAAGAGCUUGUAGGCGGUUUGUUGCGUCUGCUGUGAAAGACCGGGGCUUAACCCCGGUAUUGCAGUGGGUACGGGCAGACUAGAGUGCAGUAGGGGAGACUGGAAUUCCUGGUGUAGCGGUGAAAUGCGCAGAUAUCAGGAGGAACACCGAUGGCGAAGGCAGGUCUCUGGGCUGUAACUGACGCUGAGAAGCGAAAGCAUGGGGAGCGAACAGGAUUAGAUACCCUGGUAGUCCAUGCCGUAAACGUUGGGCACUAGGUGUGGGGGACAUUCCACGUUUUCCGCGCCGUAGCUAACGCAUUAAGUGCCCCGCCUGGGGAGUACGGCCGCAAGGCUAAAACUCAAAGGAAUUGACGGGGGCCCGCACAAGCGGCGGAGCAUGCGGAUUAAUUCGAUGCAACGCGAAGAACCUUACCAAGGCUUGACAUAUACUGGACCGCCUCAGAGAUGGGGUUUCCCUUCGGGGCUGGUAUACAGGUGGUGCAUGGUUGUCGUCAGCUCGUGUCGUGAGAUGUUGGGUUAAGUCCCGCAACGAGCGCAACCCUCGUUCUAUGUUGCCAGCACGUUAUGGUGGGGACUCAUAGGAGACUGCCGGGGUCAACUCGGAGGAAGGUGGGGAUGACGUCAAAUCAUCAUGCCCCUUAUGUCUUGGGCUUCACGCAUGCUACAAUGGCCGGUACAAAGGGUUGCGAUACUGUGAGGUUGAGCUAAUCCCAAAAAGCCGGUCUCAGUUCGGAUUGGGGUCUGCAACUCGACCCCAUGAAGUCGGAGUCGCUAGUAAUCGCAGAUCAGCAACGCUGCGGUGAAUACGUUCCCGGGCCUUGUACACACCGCCCGUCAAGUCACGAAAGUUGGUAACACCCGAAGCCGAUGGCCUAACCCUU
This 1372-nucleotide ribosomal RNA is filed under the name Rothia amarae. RNAcentral's name for it is "bacterial SSU rRNA". It matches the Rfam family "Bacterial small subunit ribosomal RNA", at positions 66 to 1443 of the family's 1533-position model. The record is from RNAcentral. Lineage: Bacteria; Bacillati; Actinomycetota; Actinomycetes; Micrococcales; Micrococcaceae.